CAGCCGCCGCGGGAAUACGAAGGGUGCAAGCGUUACUCGGAAUUACUGGGCGUAAAGCGUGCGUAGGUGGUUGUUUAAGUCUGCUGUGAAAGCCCUGGGCUCAACCUGGGAAUUGCAGUGGAUACUGGGCAACUAGAGUAAGGUAGAGGAUAGUGGAAUUUCCGGUGUAGCAGUGAAAUGCGUAGAGAUCGGAAGGAACAUCUGUGGCGAAGGCGACUAUCUGGGCCAUUACUGACACUGAGGCACGAAAGCGUGGGGAGCAAACAGGAUUAGAUACCCGCGUAGUCCCUGUCUCUUAUAU
RNAcentral lists this ribosomal RNA (301 nucleotides) under uncultured bacterium. RNAcentral's name for it is "partial 16S ribosomal RNA". It matches the Rfam family "Bacterial small subunit ribosomal RNA", at positions 509 to 809 of the family's 1533-position model. The record is from RNAcentral.